UCUAAGCACAUGCCUUAAAACGGUGAAGCCGCGAAUAGCUCAUUACAACAGCCAUCGUUUAUUAGAAUAUCGUUAUCCUACUUGGAUAACUGUGGCAAUUCUAGAGCUAAUACAUGCAAUAAAGCUCUGCCCGCAAGGAACGAGCGCAUUUAUUAGAAUAAAAACCAAUCGGGUUUCGGCCCGUAAUUUGGUGAAUCUGAAUAACUUUGCCAAUCGCACAGUCCUAGUACUGGCGAUGUAUCUUUCAAGUGUCUGCCUUAUCAACUUUCGAUGGUACGCUAUACGCCUACCAUGGUAGUAACGGGUAACGGAGAAUAAGGGUUCGACUCCGGAGAGGGAGCCUGAGAAACGGCUACCACAUCCAAGGAAGGCAGCAGGCGCGCAAAUUACCCACUUCCAGAACGGAGAGGUAGUGACGAAAAAUAACGAGACAGUCCUCUUCGAGGUCUGUCAUCGGAAUGGGUACAAUUUACA
This 474-nucleotide ribosomal RNA is filed under the name unidentified nematode Sourhope farm. RNAcentral's name for it is "SSU rRNA". It matches the Rfam family "Eukaryotic small subunit ribosomal RNA", at positions 58 to 529 of the family's 1831-position model. Lineage: Eukaryota; Metazoa; Nematoda. The record is from RNAcentral.